Aspergillus tanneri is the source of this 72-nucleotide non-coding RNA. The record is from the annotation of a RefSeq genome assembly. Lineage: Eukaryota; Fungi; Ascomycota; Eurotiomycetes; Eurotiales; Aspergillaceae.
GGGCUUUUAGCACAGGGGUAGUGCGCCCGCUUUGCAUGCGGGAGGUCAGGGGUUCGAUUCCCUUAGAGUCCA